CCACACUUCAAGUUAUUCAAUCCAAGGUUUCACAAUGGCACGCAAGAUAGCACUAGUAGUCUUGUCUCUAUCGGUGUUUGCGUUCUUCCUCUGCCUUGGUAUUGCCGAAGCUGACCUGCAGUGCAAGUUCACGAUUCACCCUUACUACCAUGGUAAGUGCAAGACAAAGCAUGACAGCGAGAAUUGUCAAAUUUCUUGUACCAGAUUAAAGGCGCCAAAGUACAACGAUGGCGCAUGCGCUAAUGAACGAUGUUUCUGUGCUACCUGUCAUUGAUCAUUGAACUCUUUCACCGCUGGGGGAGCCAUCAAGAUACAUCACUGCCAUGGAAAGAUUAGAGCUCCUAGGAGAAUCCUUUUUUUUUGUUGUAUCAGAAUAAAUUGGCAAAUGUAUCUGAAUCUGGCUGUGCUUUAGCAAGUAUCUAUUUCCGAUGAGUUGCGAUAAA
Triticum dicoccoides is the source of this 443-nucleotide long non-coding RNA. RefSeq lists it as uncharacterized. The transcript is spliced from 2 exons. The record is from RefSeq and is a predicted model, not a curated record. NCBI's taxonomy places the organism in Eukaryota, Viridiplantae, Streptophyta, Magnoliopsida, Poales, Poaceae.